RNAcentral lists this long non-coding RNA (324 nucleotides) under Mustela putorius furo (domestic ferret). Its description in RNAcentral is "lncRNA (ENSMPUG00000031835.1)". The record is from RNAcentral. Lineage: Eukaryota; Metazoa; Chordata; Mammalia; Carnivora; Mustelidae.
AAUCACUCCAUUUUUACCUCACCCUUCAUGAAGUAGAACAUGGUCUUCUUCUUUCCUUCCUUGACCUCCAUUCGAAUUUGUUUCCAUGCAGUGUUCAUUCCUUUGCUUCAGGGGUAGAGUUUCAUGAUUCCUCACCUGCAUAGAACACCCAGAGCUCAUCACAAGAAGUACCCUCCCUAACAGCUGUCACCCAUUUAACCCCUCCCCUCCAAACCCCUGCCCUCUAGCAACCUUUGGUUUCUGCUGUAAGGUUGAGGACACAUCACCUUGGACAAAGGAGAAGCCAUCAUCCAAGCCUCGAUCUGACCACAAACAGCCACCUAC